This 469-nucleotide ribosomal RNA is filed under the name uncultured bacterium. Its description in RNAcentral is "partial 16S ribosomal RNA". It matches the Rfam family "Bacterial small subunit ribosomal RNA", at positions 28 to 507 of the family's 1533-position model. The record is from RNAcentral.
GACGAACGCUGGCGGCGUGCUUAACACAUGCAAGUCGAACGGAAAGGCCCUGCUUGCAGGGUGCUCGAGUGGCGAACGGGUGAGUAACACGUGGGUGAUCUGCCCCUUACUUUGGGAUAAGCCUGGGAAACUGGGUCUAAUACUGGAUAGGACCAUGCUGUAGGUGGUGUGGUGGAAAGAUUAGUUUCGGUAAGGGAUGAGCUCGCGGCCUAUCAGCUUGUUGGUGGGGUAAUGGCCUACCAAGGCGUCGACGGGUAGCCGGCCUGAGAGGGUGGACGGCCACAUUGGGACUGAGAUACGGCCCAGACUCCUACGGGAGGCAGCAGUGGGGAAUAGUGCACAAUGGGCGCAAGCCUGAUGCAGCGACGCCGCGUGGGGGAUGAAGGCCUUCGGGUUGUAAACUCCUUUCAGCCAUGACGAAGCCCUUGUGGUGACGGUAGUGGUAGAAGAAGCACCGGCUAACUACGUG